RNAcentral lists this unclassified non-coding RNA (426 nucleotides) under plant metagenome. RNAcentral describes it as "partial contains 5.8S ribosomal RNA, internal transcribed spacer 2, and large subunit ribosomal RNA". It matches the Rfam family "Bacterial small subunit ribosomal RNA", at positions 358 to 777 of the family's 1533-position model. The record is from RNAcentral.
GGAAUCUUGAGAAAUGGGCGAAAGCCUGACGGAGCAACGCCGCGUGAGUGAUGAAGGUUUUCGGAUCGUAAAGCUCUGUUGCCAGGGAAGAACGUCUUGUAGAGUAACUGCUACAAGAGUGACGGUACCUGAGAAGAAAGCCCCGGCUAACUACGUGCCAGCAGCCGCGGUAAUACGUAGGGGGCAAGCGUUGUCCGGAAUUAUUGGGCGUAAAGCGCGCGCAGGCGGCUCUUUAAGUCUGGUGUUUAAUCCCGAGGCUCAACUUCGGGUCGCACUGGAAACUGGCGAGCUUGAGUGCAGAAGAGGAGAGUGGAAUUCCACGUGUAGCGGUGAAAUGCGUAGAGAUGUGGAGGAACACCAGUGGCGAAGGCGACUCUCUGGGCUGUAACUGACGCUGAGGCGCGAAAGCGUGGGGAGCAAACAGGA